CGAGAGCUGUCGGCGAGAUUCCUAGAUCCAAAACCCUAAGACGGCAAAAACCUAAUUGAGUCGCAUGUCGAAUAACAAAAACGGAAAAUUGCCUAAAAUCGCUCUAAGUGCUAAGUUUGCUGUGAAAAGUCCUCCCCAUGCCUCUCGCCUAGGACUCCUUAUAUACUGGCUCCAAGGUCGGUUUACGCUUUUCCCCUUCUGCCGUUAAGCCGUCAUAGCA
Molecule: long non-coding RNA, 220 nt
Filed under: Brassica napus (rape)
Lineage: Eukaryota; Viridiplantae; Streptophyta; Magnoliopsida; Brassicales; Brassicaceae
Description: long non-coding RNA (BNAP_LNC015633)
Source: RNAcentral